This 6477-nucleotide long non-coding RNA is filed under the name Podarcis lilfordi (Lilford's wall lizard). Lineage: Eukaryota; Metazoa; Chordata; Lepidosauria; Squamata; Lacertidae. The record is from RNAcentral.
CUGGGUGGUUGUUGUUUAGUCGUUUAGUUGUGUCCGACUCUUCGUGACCCCCUGGACCAAAGCACGCCAGGCACUCCUGUCUUCCACUGCCUCCCCCAGUUUGCUCAAACUCAUGCUGGCAGCUUCGAGAACACUGUCCAACCAUCUCGUCCUCUGUCGUCCCCUUCUCCUUGUGCCCUCCAUCUUUCCCAACAUCAGGGUCUUUUCCAGGGAGUCUUCUCUUCUCAUGAGGUGGCCAAAGUCUUGGAGCCUCAGCUUCAGGAUCUGUCCUUCCAGUGAGCACUCAUGGCUGAUUUCCUUCAGAAUGGCUGUGUUUGAUCUUCUUGCAGUCCAUGGGACUCUCAAAAGUCUCCUCCAGCACCAUAAUUCAAAAGCAUCCAUUCUUCGGCGAUUUUUAUUUUAUUUUAUUUUUUAUUUUAUUUUUUGUUAAAUAUGAAAAAGAGGCCUUAUGAAAAUUCACCAGCAUUUUAGUGCAAAUUGUAUACAGACGUUUGUAUUACUCUGCAAGCAAUCUUCCCUAAUACAUUUUAAAAUCUUGUUUUCACACAUACUUGCAUUUUUAUACACACACUUCACUGCAGGAUAGACUUUUCUGUCCACAUUGCUUGCCUGGAGAACUGCAUUGCAAAAUUCAGAGAAGUGCGAGUUUUGAAGCACAGCCGUGUUUCAAUUCUCAUAUUAUUUCAGACACAGACUUACCAAGCUAAACAUUGACCAUUUAUAAAAAUAAUAGCAGAUUUUAAUUCCUCACGCCCCAAAACAUAUUUUUAAGACCCCCUCAAUGAAGAAAUUUGCAAAAAUUAAGUUUCACACCCCCCUAAAAUGGCAUGCUAGUAAUGACUCGUGAGUGGCCUACCUUGCAGAAAAAAAUAAUUUUUGCAAUUUCACAGUGCUGCAGAAUUUAGCAUCCACUAGCAGAACAUGGGUGCAGAAUUUCGAAUUCUGUAAAGCAACACAAGUCUUUCAGAACUCAGAGCAGAUACAGCAUUAGUAAGGGAGUUGAAUCUUCUGUUUUUAAUGACUGAUGUUUUAAUGUAUUUUUAAUCAUUUGUUGGAAGCUGCCCAGAGUGGGCAGGGUAGAAAUAAGCUAUUAUUAUUGUUUGUUUGUUUGUUGUUGUUGUUGCUAUACUUCUUUAUCCAAAGUGUUCAAUAUCCUUUUUGUUUAACAAAUAGAAUUGGGGUAGGUAGGUGGGUGUAUGUUGUGGAUGAAAAGAAUGGAUUUUUAUUUUCUUUAGAAAAUGAUCUCACCUAACUGUAAACGUCCCCCAAUAGUCGCUCGUAGAUAAAUCACUGGUGCUUAUUUUAUUAGUGGUUUUAAAUACAAUAGCAGCAUUUUUAUGAUUUGGCCCUCGACUCCAUUCCCUGCCCUGACACAGCACCUCUCCAUCGGAGUUGGCUGCGGCCGUCAAACAAGGCUGGAUCCCAUUACAAACGCAGGAAAGGAAGAACACCUUACGAAAGCGAAGGGAAAAGAAGAAGAAAUUUGUUUGUUGCAGAGAAUCCAGCCGCUUAAGAGCCCUUAAAAGAAACCUUGUGUGCGUUCCAACUUGUCGGCUGAGAACAACCCGAAACUAUUCCAUCUGUGCUGAGGCAUAGAAAUGCCUUAUCUGUUUGGCCCCGGAUCAGAGACUCGACAAUCUGGCUAAGAAGGGCUGGCAGAUCUGGUGAGACAGCCAGGUGGAACGUGCUUGCUAUUUAAUUAAAAGGGCUGGCCUUAGAAGUGAAGAGAUUCUGUAGAAAUGGCUGGUCCUGAUUGCUUUGCUUAGUAUGGAUUUCCCCAACCUGGUUCCUACCAGAUGUAGGAAGAAUGUAAGGACAGAAGGAGAGCCCUUUUGGAUCAGAACAAACUCCCAUCUGGCUAAGGUCUGCCCUCCAUAGUUAGAGGCAUCAGUGCUUCUGAAUACCAGUUUAGCUUGCCGAUCAGAAGGUCAGCGGUUCAAAUCCCCAUGACAGGGUGAGCUCCUGUUGCUCUGUCCCAGCUCCUGCCAACCUAGCAGUUCGAAAGCACACCAGUGCAAGUAGAUAAAUAGGUACCACUGUGGUGGGAAGGUAAACAGUGUUUCCACACACUCUGGCUUCUGUCUGUGGGAUGGUUUACUUUAGCAGUUAAACAAUCCCCUUUAUAAGUUUAUGCAGCGAUCAGCUUGUUUCCACUGAGUUUCCAUUGAGCACAUGGAUUGAUAAUAUGGACAGAUUAGCUACAUAUGAAUGAAUUACAUGUCGGCACAAAAUACGAAUGGAUAAAUAUGAAGAAAUCUGGAACGAAUAUUUAAGCGAUAAGGUGGAUAGUGGUGGGAAGUAGGGGGGAGGAGAGAGAGGUGAGGAAAUAUUGUUUAAAAAGGUGUAGUCAUAGGUAUACCAGUGUAUUCAAAUCUGAAUUGUCAAAUUGUGUUAUUAGUGCUAUUAUGGUUUUUGUUGUAUGUGUCUUUUGCAGUUGUUGUUUGUAUCGAAAAAAUGAUUAAAUAAAACAAAAACAACAAUCCCCUUUAUAAGUUUAUGCAGCGAUCAGCUUGUUGCUGACUCGUCUGAGUUCUACUAGCAAAGAUGCCUUCCUGGUUAAAAAUCCCCUUGAAUCCCUCUUAAAGAGUACACACAUAAAUCUGAUUCAUGUUAAUAUAAAACUAUUUUCCUCUCAGAUUCAUUCAGGUUUACAGAACCAUGCCUGAAAGCAGGCUUAGGUUACAUAACGAGCAAAUGAACUAUACCAGAGGGACGUUGGUCCUGAGGCGACUGCAACUGAGCAGUUAUCUUUCAAAACUACAAGCAACUGACAAAGUGGUUGUCACAGCGACUGGUUAGAACAUGGAGGCCGUUAGUCCUCUGUCGGAAUGCUGCACUUGACGGCACCUUUACAUCCCACACUGUCAUGGUGUUCUGUUGCGCCAGAAGUGGCUUAGUCCUGCUGGCCACACUACUGAUUCAAAGUGUUGGUGUUGACCUUUAAAGCCCUAAACGGCCUCGGCCCAGUAUACCUGAAGGAGCGUCUCCACCCCCAUCGUUCUGCCCGGACGCUGAGGUCCAGCGCUGAGGGCCUUCUGGCGGUUCCCUCAUUGCGAGAAGCAAAGCUACAGGGAACCAGGCAGAGGGCCUUCUCGGUAGUGGCGCCCGCCCUGUGGAACGCCCUCCCAUCAGAUGUCAAAGCGAUAAAUAACUACCUGACAUUUAGAAGGCAUCUUAAGGCAGCCCUGUUCAGGGAAGCUUUUAAUCUGUGAUAUUUUACUGUAUUUUUUGUUUCUAUGGAAGCCGCCCAGAGUGGCUGGGGAAACCCAGCCAGAUGGGCGGGGUACAAAUAAUAAAUUAUUAUUAUUAUUAUUAUUAUUAUUACCUGGAAAGCUGUCUGUGGACAAACGCCGGCUCCCUCAGCCUGAAAGCGAGAUGAGCGCCGCAACCGCAUAGUCACCUUUGACUGGACUUAACUGUCCAGGGGUCCUUUACCUUUACCUUUUACACCUGUUCUGCCCUCCAAAGUUGGUGGCAUCAGUGCUUCUGAAUACCAGUUGCUGGAAACCACUGGAGGGGAGAGCGUUGCUCUUGUGCUUGUAUCCUGUUUGGGAGUUUUUCACAAGCAUCUGGGUGAUGCCCAUGAGAACAGAAUGCUGGAGUAGAUGGGCCAUUAGCCUAAUAAUACCCCAUCAUCUGACUAAGUUGCCCCAGCCACUCUGGAUGGCUUCCAACAUAAACAUAAUAAAACAAAAUGCUUUCCUAGACAGGGUUGCCUUCAGAUGUCUUCUAAAGCUUGUAUAGUUACAUAUCUGCUUGGCUCGAGGGUCGCCAUAAUGCCAUACUGUAAGGAGUGCGUACAGGAGUUGGGCCCUGUGACCAGUAGGGCUUCGCAGGACUGGGGCUUUCCUAAGUUUGUUCUGGAGAGGCAAGGUGCAGCCGCACAGGUGAGGCUGCUUGGUAACUCGCUGCACCUGAUGGCAAGAGCCGGAAGGGAUAUAAGGUCAGCAUUUCCCUUCGGCUCUUUGCCACAGCAACACGCUUCCUGCCUUGCUGUGUUUGGCUCCUUGCUUCCUGAUCCUCGGACCUCGACUUCUUGACUCCUUGCUUCUUGAUCCUCAGUCCCUUGACUUUGUGACUCCCUGCUUCCUGACCCUCGGACCCCUGGCUUCUGGACUCUCGUUCCUGCUCCCACCCCGCCAUCUUGCCCCGGUCCCAAAGUCCUCAGCCAGGACUUUGAUCGCCCGUAGACCAGACAGUGACACAUACCCUCCAAUAUUUCUUCGAUUAAAAUAAGGACGUCGUAAGGAAAAGCGGGACAUUCCGGGAUCAAAUAAAAAAACUGGGAUGGCGUCUGUAAAUCCAGGACUGUCCCUGGAAAAUAGGGACACUUAGAGGGUCUGAAAUGGGCCAUUGCCCGGAUCCUGCAGGAUCUUCGUAGGUCCUUGUGUUAUGGUUAAAGUCCUCAAAGCACUGGUGUUGUUAACAGCUGCUUGAAGGUUUCUCUUUAACCUUUUCUCCCCAACACACAGCUCUCCCUCCUCUUUGGAAGAUAAGCUGCUGUACAGGGUCAAACUGUCAGUCCAUCAACUAGCAGUGGCCAGAGGCUCAGGCAAAUCUCUUCCCCAACCACAUCAGGAACUGCUGGGGCUUGAACCCAAGACUUUUCCAUGCAAGGCAGAUGCUUUCUCAAUGAGCUGCAGCCAUCCUCCUCGCUCCAUCCGCCCUGUAGCCUGCAGUCUUGGCAAGGAGUCCCUCGCAGGUUAGGCUCCGCGAUCUGUAAACACUCAAGUAAUUAUAGCAUUAAAACAAGAGACACAGAUUACGGGGGUCCCGAUAGCAUCACUCUCACCUGGAGUAAUGAGAAAGGGAGUUGGGGCUUUUAUGAGCACAGCCACCAUUAUGAGCCUGAAGAGGUCUGCAGGUUGUGAAAUUGCCUGCCUUGUCAUCUUCGGGACAGCUCAGGAUUAUUAAAGAAAACAGUGCAGGAACGCAGGGAGCUGACUUUGUAACGCUGAGCCAGAACGUCGGUCUGUUUAGCUUAGUAUUUGCUACUCUGAAUGACAACCAGAGGCCUACGCCAGUGGCCAAAAUUGUAGAAACAUUUUGGGGAAAGUGUAGUUCUGAGGUUUGAUGGCUCAUAACACCACUUAUUUUGGAAUAAUGCCAUAAAAUUAUAUAUCAGGGGAAAGAUAAUUUAAUGAAGACUGUAAUGCAACAAAGUUUGUUCAAUUAUCUGUAUUCUCUCAAAAGUUAUAGCCAAAUAACCAGAAAAAGAAAGCACAAUUUGCUUAGGUUGAUACGCAGUAGCUCCCCCCCCCCCAGCUUGUUAAAUGGCUUGGGAUGCAUAUACCUAAAGGGGCAACUCUCCCGAUACCAGUUUUUUAGCUUUCUUUGCCCUCCCCUUAACAGCAUUAAGAACAUGGUCUGUUUGCUUCUAGGAGAAUGGUGACGCAAUGCCACUUCCUUUUAUAAACUGUACACACAGGGGUAACUGUGCCCCUGAAGGACCAGGUGCGCAGCCUGGGAGUCAUUUUGGACUCACAGGUGUCCAUGGAGGCGCAUGUCAAUUUUGUGUCCAAGGUGGCUGUCUAUCAACUCCAUCUGGUACGCAGGAUGAGACCCUACCUGCCCGCAGAGUGUCUCUCCAGAGUGGUGCAUGCUCUAGUUAUCUCUCUCUUGGAUUACUGCAAUGCGCUCUAUGUGGGGCCACCUUUGAAGGUGACACGGAAACUACAACUAAUCCAGAAAGCGGCAGCUAGACUGGUGACUGGGAGCGGCUGCUGAGACCACAUAACACCGGUCUUGAAAGACCUACAUUGGCUCCCAGUACAUUUCCAAGCAUAAUUCAAAGUGUUGGUGCUGACCUUUAAAGCCCUAAAUGGCCUCAGUCCAGUAUAUCUGAAGGAGCGUCUCCACCCCCAUGGUUCUACCCGGAUACUGAGGUCCAGCGCCAAGGGUCUUCUGGUGGUUUCCUCUCUGUGAGAAGCCAAGCUACAGGGAACCAGGCAGAGGGCCUUCUUGGUGGUGGCACCCGCCCUGUGGAACGCCCUCCCACCAGAUGUCAAAGAGAACAAAAACCACCAGACUUUUAGAAGACAUCUGAAGGCAGUCCUGUUUAGGGAAGCUUUUAAUGUUUGAUGCAUUACGGUAUUUUAAUAUUUUGUUGGAAGCCGCCCAGAGAGGCUGGGGAGGCUGGGCGGUGUAUUAUUCAUUCAUUCAUUCAUUCAUUCAUUCAUUCAUUCCCUGUCCAUCUGACUGGGUUGCCCCAGCCACUCUGGGCAGCUGCCAACAUAUAUAAAAUAAUUAAACAUUAAAAAGCUUUCCUAUACAGUGGUACCUCGGGUUACAGAUGGGCGGGGUAUAAAUUAUUAUUAUUAUUAUUAUUAUUAUUAUUAUUAUUAUUAUUCACAUACACACAAGUGUAGCUGCCUGGUCUCCUUGUUGCUCACCUCCUUCCACUGGCCAGUUCACCUCCAGAAUGGAAGGAGACCACCCAGUGCUGACAACCACAGCCAUUGGCCCCUGCGUUCUGCC